Molecule: ribosomal RNA, 494 nt
Filed under: uncultured bacterium
Lineage: Bacteria
Description: bacterial SSU rRNA
Rfam family: Bacterial small subunit ribosomal RNA
Source: RNAcentral
GAUCCUGGCUCAGGAUGAACGCUGGCGGCGUGCUUAACACAUGCAAGUCGAACGAAGCACUUUACUUGAUCUUUUCGGAGUGAUUGUUUUGUGACUGAGUGGCGGACGGGUGAGUAACGCGUGGGUAACCUGCCUCACACAGGGGGAUAACAGUUGGAAACGGCUGCUAAUACCGCAUAAGCGCACAGUACCGCAUGGUAUGGUGUGAAAAACUCCGGUGGUGUGAGAUGGACCCGCGUCUGAUUAGCUAGUUGGCAGGGUAACGGCCUACCAAGGCGACGAUCAGUAGCCGACCUGAGAGGGUGACCGGCCACAUUGGGACUGAGACACGGCCCAAACUCCUACGGGAGGCAGCAGUGGGGAAUAUUGCACAAUGGGGGAAACCCUGAUGCAGCGACGCCGCGUGAGCGAAGAAGUAUUUCGGUAUGUAAAGCUCUAUCAGCAGGGAAGAAGAAAUGACGGUACCUGACUAAGAAGCACCGGCUAAAUACGUG